This 236-nucleotide long non-coding RNA is filed under the name Gallus gallus (chicken). Lineage: Eukaryota; Metazoa; Chordata; Aves; Galliformes; Phasianidae. The record is from RNAcentral.
CUCGUUAUUCAACAGCUCCUGUUUAAGUUGAUGGAUAGUAAGCUUUUUGAUAUCCAGCUCUUCACCAUACUGUCUUUUAAUCCUUUCAAGUUCAUCAAUUUUGUUCCUCAGAGAUUUCUCUACAGAACGCAUUGUGGACACCUCGCUUUGUACUUGCUGAAGUUGUUUCAUGGCAUCAGAAAGUUUUUCUUUCAAAUCUGCAUACUCUUCUUCUUUCCUCUCCAAAUCUCUCUUCA